GACGAACGCUGGCGGCGUGCUUAACACAUGCAAGUCGAACGAUGAAGCUGGAGCUUGCUCCGGUGGAUUAGUGGCGAACGGGUGAGUAACACGUGAGCAAUCUGCCCUUGACUCUGGGAUAACUGCGGGAAACUGUAGCUAAUACCGGAUACGAGGCUCGAAGGCAUCUUCGGGUCUGGAAAGAAUUUCGGUCAAGGAUGAGCUCGCGGCCUAUCAGCUUGGUGGUGAGGUAAUGGCUCACCAAGGCGACGACGGGUAGCCGGCCUGAGAGGGUGACGGGCGACACUGGGACUGAGACACGGCCCAGACGCCUACGGGAGGCAGGAGUGGGGAAUAUUGCACAAUGGGCGAAAGCCUGAUGCAGCAACGCCGCGUGAGGGAUGAAGGCCUUCGGGUUGUAAACCUCUUUUAGCAGGGAAGAAGCGAAAGUGACGGUACCUGCAGAAAAAGCACCGGCUAACUACGUGCCAGCCGCCGCCGUAA
This 483-nucleotide ribosomal RNA is filed under the name uncultured bacterium. Its description in RNAcentral is "partial 16S ribosomal RNA". It matches the Rfam family "Bacterial small subunit ribosomal RNA", at positions 28 to 523 of the family's 1533-position model. The record is from RNAcentral.